Molecule: long non-coding RNA, 205 nt
Organism: Rosa chinensis
Lineage: Eukaryota; Viridiplantae; Streptophyta; Magnoliopsida; Rosales; Rosaceae
Exons: 3
Source: RefSeq, a predicted model, not a curated record
UGGGACCCGAUCUCAGCUAGAUCCCACCUAUCGAUAAUGGAGGAAUGAGAAAAUCGGAGAGCGCAAAUCGACUCUCUGAGAGCGAUGUUAGUACUUUAGUUUCUCAGAUAAGAGACUUGGAUAGGAAGAAUGCAGAACUGGAAGAACAAAACAAAAAUUUGGCUUCCAUGGUAGGACUCUUGUGUUUGUUGUGCUUGUUUGUUUC